This 250-nucleotide ribosomal RNA is filed under the name uncultured bacterium. Its description in RNAcentral is "partial 16S ribosomal RNA". It matches the Rfam family "Bacterial small subunit ribosomal RNA", at positions 524 to 773 of the family's 1533-position model. The record is from RNAcentral.
UACGAAGGGGGCUAGCGUUGUUCGGAAUUACUGGGCGUAAAGCGCACGUAGGCGGAUUGUUAAGUUAGGGGUGAAAUCCCGGGGCUCAACCCCGGAACUGCCUCUAAUACUGGCAAUCUCGAGUCCGAGAGAGGUGAGUGGAAUUCCGAGUGUAGAGGUGAAAUUCGUAGAUAUUCGGAGGAACACCAGUGGCGAAGGCGGCUCACUGGCUCGGUACUGACGCUCAUGCACGAAAGCGUGGGGAGCAAAC